UACGUAGGGUGCGAGCGUUAAUCGGAAUUACUGGGCGUAAAGCGUGCGCAGGCGGCUUCGCAAGUCAGACGUGAAAUCCCCGGGCUUAACCUGGGAAUGGCGUUUGAAACUACGGAGCUGGAGUGUGGCAGAGGGAGGUAGAAUUCCACGUGUAGCAGUGAAAUGCGUAGAUAUGUGGAGGAAUACCGAUGGCGAAGGCAGCCUCCUGGGCCAACACUGACGCUCAUGCACGAAAGCGUGGGGAGCAAACAGG
Molecule: ribosomal RNA, 253 nt
Filed under: uncultured bacterium
Lineage: Bacteria
Description: partial 16S ribosomal RNA
Rfam family: Bacterial small subunit ribosomal RNA
Source: RNAcentral